AGAUGACGGUGGUUGGAAGUAGAAUAGUAAAAGCAGAAACGGUGAGAAGUCGAUUGAUCCUGGUGUAUAUCUCUUGAAACUGGAGUUGAUGCCUAUUAGUAUGCCACUGAAGAGCCUGCAGAAGGAGCCGUGGUGAAGCCAGCAAGUUAUAGGAAAGGUCUUUGAAGUCCUGUGCAUUCAGCUGACAGAUGGAAAAGAGAAAGGAUCAUACAGGAAGUUUGUAUGGGCCAGGCCUAGAAGAGAUAGUAUCACUUCCACUCAUAUUUCAUUAGCCAGAUCUCAGUCUCAUGUCUACACAACAACAGCCCCAGCUGAGGUCCCCACUGACACCAGGAUCAAGCACCUGAUGUAUGUGUGAAGAUGGUUCCAGAUGAUGUUAGCCCUCAGUGUCAGAUUUUCCCAGAUAUUGAGGAACAGAGAGAAGCCACCCCCCUUAACCUUAAGGAAACCCUACAGUUGCAUGAACUCUAAUCCCUUGAUGAAUUCCUUUUUCUAUAUUAUUCAUACUGUUUCUGCUUAUUUGUUCCAACCCUGACUGAUACAAACCAUGAACUCUGGCCGAACAUGCUUGCCAUUCUGAAUGGUACAAGUGCCACAAAAGGUGGGCGCCUUUAACUUCUAAUAAAAUUGGGGUACUUUUUAAUUCAACAUUUAUAUUACUAGUAAUUAUUAAUAUCUUUAA
Molecule: long non-coding RNA, 682 nt
Organism: Leopardus geoffroyi (Geoffroy's cat)
Lineage: Eukaryota; Metazoa; Chordata; Mammalia; Carnivora; Felidae
Exons: 3
Source: RefSeq, a predicted model, not a curated record